This is a long non-coding RNA of Melitaea cinxia (Glanville fritillary), 409 nucleotides long. RefSeq lists it as uncharacterized. The transcript is spliced from 2 exons. The record is from RefSeq and is a predicted model, not a curated record. NCBI's taxonomy places the organism in Eukaryota, Metazoa, Arthropoda, Insecta, Lepidoptera, Nymphalidae.
GGACAAGAAAGCUGCGGCCGUACUGUUCGUAGUCUUCCGCGGUGAUACAACUUGCCAGACCCAUCUCCUGCGAGCCCUGAGCGAGAAUAAAAAUAAUUAUAUUUUCCCGGAUUCUAAGGAAGCUACCGACGUUAAAGCCCAGAAGACUUUGACGAACCGCAGCAUUAGGAAAACAUUUUAAUAUUUACUUAAGAUAUUUAAUACUUCCCAUACCUGGUUGCCAUCUUCGACGCGAGAAUGGUGCACAUUAUACGCUACAACGAAGCCGUUCGGGUCUUCCGGUGGCUGCCACGUUACGUUCACUUCGGGCAGAGUUUUAUUCGAUGGCAAUAUUUCGGCGUGUAAAUUCCUUACAACAUCAGCGUUCACUAAAACAAUAAAAAUACCAUAUAAGAGUUAAUUAAAGCUU